GUGAUUAGUUAAGGCUUAUCCGUUAAGCGGUGCGUUCCUCUGCAAAGAAAAAGCGUGGGAGCUUGGAAAGAGACACGAGGCUGUUUUGGAGAAGUUGGAAGUACUGGACUGAUGAUGAACAUUUUGAGUUCAUUCAACUUGCAGAAGACAUUGGUGCAGUCUCAAUAUGGGAGUUUAACAAUUUACAAUGGAUCAGCCAAUCAGAAUGAUGAAGUUGAAACCGCAAGUGUGAUGCUCUUUGUCUCGCGCGAGUAUUCCCGUAGAACUCCCAGUUCAUUACCGAACUAACUGCCUUCUUGUUUUUUAUUGCUUAUUUUUUUAUUGCUUAUUACUUAUUUUGUCUUGUGUUUCUCUCCUAUUUGCAUUGCAAGGUUUAAAUGUUUUAAGUCUUAUUUUCAGGGAUUUUGCUAUUUUCUCUAUUUACUCACCUCUAAGACACUAUGCACAUAUAUAAAUACAUCCUUGUUGUAAGAAAAUAAGAAUAUAUUUCUAUUUUUUAAAUAAUAUAUUUGUAUUUAUAUCACGCUAGCAACAAAGAAAAAAAAACGAACAAUUAAAAACUAUGACUCGAAAUCAUGGCUAAAUAUAUGAAACAAAA
This is a long non-coding RNA of Brassica rapa (field mustard), 598 nucleotides long. RefSeq lists it as uncharacterized. The record is from RefSeq and is a predicted model, not a curated record. NCBI's taxonomy places the organism in Eukaryota, Viridiplantae, Streptophyta, Magnoliopsida, Brassicales, Brassicaceae.